GGAUUAGAUACCCUGGUAGUCCACGCCGUAAACGGUGGGUACUAGGUGUGGGGGACAUUCCACGUUCUCCGUGCCGCAGCUAACGCAUUAAGUACCCCGCCUGGGGAGUACGGCCGCAAGGCUAAAACUCAAAGGAAUUGACGGGGCCCCGCACAAGCGGCGGAGCAUGCGGAUUAAUUCGAUGCAACGCGAAGAACCUUACCUGGGUUUGACAUAUGCCGGAAACACCUAGAGAUAGGUGCCCCUUUAUGGUCGGUUUACAGGUGGUGCAUGGCUGUCGUCAGCUCGUGCUG
Molecule: ribosomal RNA, 293 nt
Filed under: uncultured bacterium
Lineage: Bacteria
Description: partial 16S ribosomal RNA
Rfam family: Bacterial small subunit ribosomal RNA
Source: RNAcentral